This 21-nucleotide non-coding RNA is filed under the name Caenorhabditis elegans. Lineage: Eukaryota; Metazoa; Nematoda; Chromadorea; Rhabditida; Rhabditidae. The record is from RNAcentral.
UAAAUUUUGCACUUUUAGUUU